This 305-nucleotide ribosomal RNA is filed under the name uncultured Fusarium. RNAcentral describes it as "partial large subunit ribosomal RNA". It matches the Rfam family "Eukaryotic large subunit ribosomal RNA", at positions 40 to 350 of the family's 3401-position model. Lineage: Eukaryota; Fungi; Ascomycota; Sordariomycetes; Hypocreales; Nectriaceae. The record is from RNAcentral.
AUAUCAAUAAGCGGAGGAAAAGAAACCAACAGGGAUUGCCUCAGUAGCGGCGAGCGAAGCGGCAACAGCUCAAAUUUGAAAUCUGGCCUCGGCCCGAGUUGUAAUUUGUAGAGGAUGUUUUUGGCACGGCUCCUUCUGAGUCCACUGGAACGUGGCGCCAGAGAGGGUGAGAGCCCCGUAUAGUCGGAAGCCUAGCCUGUGUAAAACUCCUUCGACGAGUCGAGUAGUUUGGGAAUGCUGCUCUAAAUGGGAGGUAAAUGUCUUCUAAAGCUAAAUACCGGCCAGAGACCGAUAGCGCACAAGUA